This 247-nucleotide ribosomal RNA is filed under the name uncultured bacterium. RNAcentral describes it as "partial 16S ribosomal RNA". It matches the Rfam family "Bacterial small subunit ribosomal RNA", at positions 84 to 334 of the family's 1533-position model. The record is from RNAcentral.
CCUGGUGGCGAGUGGCGAACGGGUGAGUAAAGUAUCGGAACGUGCCCAGUCGUGGGGGAUAACGUAGCGAAAGUUACGCUAAUACCGCAUACGAUCUAUGGAUGAAAGCGGGGGAUCGCAAGACCUCGCGCGAUUGGAGCGGCUGAUAUCAGAUUAGGUAGUUGGUGGGGUAAAGGCUCACCAAGCCGACGAUCUGUAGCUGGUCUGAGAGGACGACCAGCCACACUGGGACUGAGACACGGCCCAG